This 544-nucleotide ribosomal RNA is filed under the name uncultured bacterium. Its description in RNAcentral is "partial 16S ribosomal RNA". It matches the Rfam family "Bacterial small subunit ribosomal RNA", at positions 357 to 895 of the family's 1533-position model. The record is from RNAcentral.
UGGGAAUUUGGACAAUGGGCGAAAGCCUGAUCCAGCAAUGCCGCGUGUGUGAAGAAGGCCUUCGGGUUGUAAAGCACUUUUGUCCGGAAAGAAAUCCUUGGCUCUAAUACAGUCGGGGGAUGACGGUACCGGAAGAAUAAGCACCGGCUAACUACGUGCCAGCAGCCGCGGUAAUACGUAGGGUGCAAGCNUUAAUCGGAAUUACUGGGCGUAAAGCGUGCGCAGGCGGUUUGCUAAGACCGAUGUGAAAUCCCCGGGCUCAACCUGGGAACUGCAUUGGUGACUGGCAGGCUAGAGUAUGGCAGAGGGGGGUAGAAUUCCACGUGUAGCAGUGAAAUGCGUAGAGAUGUGGAGGAAUACCGAUGGCGAAGGCAGCCCCCUGGGCCAAUACUGACGCUCAUGCACGAAAGCGUGGGGAGCAAACAGGAUUAGAUACCCUGGUAGUCCACGCCCUAAACGAUGUCAACUAGUUGUUGGGGAUUCAUUCCUUAGUAACGUAGCUAACGCGUGAAGUUGACCGCCUGGGGAGUACGGUCGCAAGAUU